Molecule: long non-coding RNA, 276 nt
Filed under: Cicer arietinum (chickpea)
Lineage: Eukaryota; Viridiplantae; Streptophyta; Magnoliopsida; Fabales; Fabaceae
Description: long non-coding RNA (CARI_LNC002477)
Source: RNAcentral
AAGAUUUUACAACAAAACAUUAAGCAGCAACCUUACUUGAAAAAGAGAAUUCAAUGGUUCAUCAAAAAAUACCAUGUGUUCAUUGGAACAAACCAUCUCAUAAGAACCAGCUUAGUAUCCAUAAUUUCAUCUUUGAUGAACUCAUUAAGGCAAAACGUACACCAACCCCUUAGAACAAAAGUAUAUACCGACAUCUAGACCAAUCCAAUUACAAGGAGCAAACUCUCAUCCAUUGUAGCUUGUUGUAGAAUUUAAUAUUCUUAACAACCAAAUUCC